AAAAAAGAAAAGAAAGAGGGUGGGGAAAAAGAUUCAGUUUCCAUUCUCCCGUAUGCCAUUCCUCCCUUCUCUGCUGUGGUCCCACCUUUGCCCCUUGCACCAGUCAUGGCUCUAAUCAAAUAUUUGCAUGAAACGAUUCAGUUUAUUAACUCGAGAAAAUCCUGCCCUCUUUGUGCUGGGUGAACAGGUUGAAGUGGGUUACAGAGGAGUCUGCCAAGGGCUGGACCAGAGACAGAGCAGGCGCUGGGUGGGGUUAGCUGGGAGCAGAGGAACAAGAUUAUCCUUCCAGCCCUGACAAGUUACUAGAUCAACUCACCUUGCCUCAUGGAACCACAAGCUUAGAGGUUUACCUCUAAACUCUUGGAGCCAUGUAGAUAAUCUGCUUAACCCAGCGUCUUUGUAGGGUCUAUGGGGAAAGGAGGUGCUUAGCCCACAGGACAGGACUGCUGUACGGACCUGGAGAACUUCACAGCAGUUCAGACCUCCCUCCUCUGCCACUGAAGGCAAACACCAUCCUGACAGCACCUCUUGUCCAGGUCUCCGGACGUGGGUGCAAACACCAGGGGGGACUGCUCCUUUGGUGAACGAAACUUGGAGGGAAAUCACCGGUUCUGCAUCCCUCCAUCCACCGCCAGGAGCCAAGAGGGGGCCGCGCACCGCCGCUGAGCUGCUGCAGCCAGGAGGUUAUUUCUCCCCGGAACAGGUGUCAAAGGACGAAGGGUCUCACUCCUCAGUUCGGGCUACCAGCUGCGCUGUACGGCACAACGACCAGUUUAGCAGGCCUGUUCUUCCAUCUCCACCUUGCAUACUGCUCAACAAUUACACUCCCACCAAACGCUACAAACUAUGUAAACCAGUGGUACACUCACAAACCCACAAGCACACCAAUUGCCACCCUAACUUCCCUGUCACUUUAUUACGCUGUUUGUGCUCUGUCAGUUCCUUAAGUCCUCAGCAUUGUAUUGACGCACCGUUUCUCUCCCACAGCUCAAAGGAAAGCUACCAACUAAGUGGUGCUAAUUUACUAACCAGUAGCAACAAGAAAUACCAAAGCGUUCAGAGUCUCAAAUUAGAACAGUUGCCAGGGUCUUCAGACUUAUAAAAUAUUUUCUGUAGGCCGUGAUGUUUGGCAUAAAUACACUGCCGGAGUAAGGUCAUCCAAAUCAAAACCAUAACCAGUGGAAUGGUGGCAGAAAACGUUAACAAUUAUGAUACACAUGUUCUUUUUCCCCUUAGGACAAGAGAUUCUCAUCAUGUUCCUUUUUGUUAUGCCAGAAAUAUUUAACUGAUUCAUGUUUUGUGGUAUAGAUACAUUAAGUCAGUUUCUGUUCCUGUUUCUUAACAGUUCAUUUUAUGUAACAUACAGAUUCAUUUGAGCCGAAGUAAAGUAUUCUGAUCUCUAACAUUUCUUUAUCUCUAACCCGUAACUACCACUAAUAAAUUUCUGAUGCGGGUCCAGUGGGAUACAGGUUCUAACAAGCAAAUUUAGCAAAGGUUUGAAGAUGGACUGACGUGCCUCUCUAGUGUUAUUUGUAAACCUCGUUAUUUUGCUUCAGGAGGCUGAAGCAGAUAUUUCCACUAUGGAAAAAACUAAGGGAACAGACUGUUUUCUACCUUAACACUAUCAUCACAGGGAAGUAAAAUCCAAAAGGAGAGAAGUGACAUAACUGGGCCAUGAUUGAUGCACAUGGGCAAUUCACAUUAGAAAAUAAGGAUCAUGUGGCAGGCAAGGCUGAACAGGGAAGCAAAGGCAACCCUAAGCACUAUCUAUAAUUAGCCCUAAAGUGGGAAGAAACAGAAUGAUCUGGGUUCACAAGAGGUCAUGCAAAAGUGCUGCUUUUCAGUUUCGGGAGCAGCAGGUUCACACUGGCAGAGCUGCAUGCUUGAACCACCCCCACAGUCAACGUCAACUAAAGUCACAGAGUUUAGGGCUUUUUUCCCCCCUACAGACAAUCACGUUACUGCUUUUUAUAUGCAAAAAUUGCUAACAAAAAGCAAAUUUCAAAAUCUCCAGCAUGAGUGUUCAUGGAAACCAAAGCUUAAACAGAUCAGUAAACAAGAGAGAAAUGACCCGAUUUCCACCCAUUAUAAAUAGGACCACGCCUCACCCACAAUGAUUUUCUGUCAGUGCCUGUGGGUGAUGACAGAACUCUGUCAUUCAGUAAAUGCACUCGAUAUAUUGGAAGUAGGGUGGAACACCACUGAACAAAGUCUCUUCAAGUAAGUACCUGGCAAGUAGCACUUAAAAGAAGUCUGCAAAUUAAAUAUAAAUCUUUUGCUAGACAAUGAGAUGUGCAGUCUCGUUGCUCUGGUCAUGAUACCCUGAACAAAUACUCCACAGUUUGAAAAAUAAUAAUUUUAUAAUUGCCUGAGGGUAGACAUAGAUAGAGUGCACAGUCUUGUGAAGAGAUAAACAUAAGAAGCAAUAUAGCUUUAUUAAUGGUGGUUCUGCUUGCUAAUAAACAGUGGUUCUCAGCUGACCUAUUUCCUGGUAAUUAAAGUAUUCUAGCUUCUUCAGAGUUAAUACAGAUCACUUUGCAAAAUACACUGUUAUUCCUUGGAGACAUACUUUCAUAUUUUUUGUAUUUUUUUCAUAAGUUACUGCUCCUGAAAUGAUGUUUUUUCUGAGAUUCAGAGCUCUAGUGGUUUUUCAGCCAGGCAGAGGAGAAAAAUCUUCAAGUAGCCAGCAUGACCAGUCAUGGUGAAACAGCUCGAUUUGAAGAGAAAAUACUCCAUUAUACAACAAUUUCUUAAAAGGGCAUGGUACAAUGCUAAAGUAGAGACCAGUAGAAUGAAAAAAAACAUGGAGAUGUGGAUAACUCCUUCUAAACUUUAAUAGGCAAGUGUUUGGUGGCCUUGGACACACUGGAAAUCAUUCCCUUCCCCUUCCCUCUUUCUCUAGCAGAAUAUUUUGGUUAUAAAACACCAAAUGAGCAAUCACAGCAAUUUUGGAUUAACCAGAUCUAAUAUCGGGAAACUAUCCACUUGUGUACAUAUAUCAGCAAACUUACUGCCAAUACAACACACAAGCAUCCUGCUCCCCUUUCUUGUAAAAGGUAGACUGAAAGUUCAGUUUAAUGGAUAGCUACAUUUCAGAAAUUACUAUACCGUGAAUAGGUCCAUUGCUCCUCAGCAACAAGUGUUAUAGGAAAACUCCACACUGAAAUUCACAGCCAAAAUGGGAGACAUCAGUACAAGUGUCUGGCAAAGCAAUCCUUAAAUCUUAUCGUAUCAACUACUUAAUUCAUUUUGUGCUGUGAACAGAUAAGUGUUUAGGGAAUAAGUUGGAGUAAGAAACUGUAGUUAUGUUAUUAACAAGCAGAUUAAUCAUUUUAAUAUCCAGAAACCUAAUAACAACAAAGAAAAAUUAUAGCUAUGUUCUGAUUCAUAGCACGUGUCAGAAUAAUGCUAGUGUGAAAUAAUAAAAUGAAAGGACACAAAUCAUCCCAAAGAACAUGUUUUACUCCUAUGCAGUAUUCGCCUGUAUUGUUAAUCAGAUUUGGCACGUUCAUAAUUUUCAACAGGAAAACCAAAAUAAAACAGAUUAAAAAAAUACAUACUUUCCCCAGGUAGUAAAGGCAGGCAUUAAAAACAUUCUCAUCCAACCUGCAUAUGAUUAAACAUUGUUUUAGUAUUUUUUUUUCGGUACGAAUAGAAUUUCAUAAAUCGCUGAACAACAGUCACACAAGUAAAGAUCAUAUUUUUCACCGUGAAAUAAGAAGAUAUUUCAUGGAAGAGCUCACAGAAAAAAUUAAAGCUCUGCUAGUUCUUCUAAAUAAAGAUGGCAUACUGCUUUCUUGGACUUAAUUUAUGUUCAGAUCCAUUCAGACCUUACUCUUCUACUUAGAUUUGACUGAACUGAUAAUUUGUCCUACUGAUACAUGCCAAUGCAUUUAUAUAUUAAAGUAUGUAAAACAUGCUCUAUCGCACGCAUUACCGAUAAUCUUAAGGCAAUGAAAAGCAUAACCAGUGCAGCCUUUAUGUAAAUGAAUGGCUUAGACAGUUCUAUAUGCUAUUUUGGGUCUUCUCAGCCAUUUAGUUCUCUUACGUUAAAAAAGGAAAAGAUAGAAAGGGAAAAAGAGCUGUAACUCUAGAAUAGUAGGGGAUGAGUUUCUGAAAGUACACGGACUAUAAUUUUAUUUUAGAAUGGCUUAAGGAAAAAGGGAAAUACUAAUGUUUUCAAUAAAACCACAUAUACCUUUAAGUCUGGUCAAUUUGUAUACUGGCGUAAAGCACAGACCAAUUCUCUUACAAGUACAGCUUUUCUUCACAUCUUUUAGUAAUGCAAACAACUGUUAGGAGUAAACAC
Molecule: long non-coding RNA, 4309 nt
Organism: Falco tinnunculus (common kestrel)
Lineage: Eukaryota; Metazoa; Chordata; Aves; Falconiformes; Falconidae
Source: Ensembl